This 333-nucleotide ribosomal RNA is filed under the name uncultured eukaryote. RNAcentral describes it as "partial 18S ribosomal RNA". It matches the Rfam family "Eukaryotic small subunit ribosomal RNA", at positions 1470 to 1796 of the family's 1831-position model. The record is from RNAcentral.
CCCUUAGAUGUUCGGGGCUGCACAUGCGCUACACUGAAGGAAUCAACGUGUAUUUGCCCUUGCCCGAAAGGGUUGGGUAACCCGUUGAACCUCCUUCGCGCUAGGGAUUGGGGCUUGUAAUUAUUCCCCAUGAACGAGGAAUUCCCAGUAAGCGCGAGUCAUAAGCUCGCGUUGAUUACGUCCCUGCCCUUUGUACACACCGCCCGUCGCUACUACCGAUUGAAUGGUUUAGUGAGAUCCUCGGAUUGGUCCCGCCACGGGAGGAAACUUUCGAGGCGGAGUGCCGAGAAGACGAUCAAACUUGAUCAUUUAGAGGAAGUAAAAGUCGUAACA